This 253-nucleotide ribosomal RNA is filed under the name uncultured bacterium. RNAcentral's name for it is "partial 16S ribosomal RNA". It matches the Rfam family "Bacterial small subunit ribosomal RNA", at positions 524 to 776 of the family's 1533-position model. The record is from RNAcentral.
UACGAAGGGGGCUAGCGUUGCUCGGAAUCACUGGGCGUAAAGCGCACGCAGGCGGACGCGCGCGUGGGGUGUGAAAUCUGGCCGCUUAACGGCCAGGCGCCAUCCCAUACGGCGCGUCUGGAGUGAUGCAGAGGUCGAUGGAAUUGCCGGUGUAGUGGUGAAAUGCGUAGAGAUCGGCAGGAACACCCAGGGGGAAACCAGUCGACUGGGCAUCUACUGACGCUGAGGUGCGAGAGCGUGGGGAGCGAACCGG